ACAAGCGGUGGAGCAUGUGGUUAAUUCGAUGAUACGCGAGGAACUUACCUGGGCUCAAAUGUAUGUUGACGUAUUCUGAAAGGGAUACUUCUUCGGACAAUAUACAAGGUGCUGCAUGGUUGUCGUCAGCUCGUGCCGUGAGGUGUCGGGUUAAGUCCCAUAACGAGCGCAACCCCUAUCAUUAGUUGCCAUCAGGUCAAGCUGGGGACUCUAAUGAAACUGCCUACGCAAGUAGUGAGGAAGGUGGGGAUGACGUCAAAUCAGCACGGCCCUUACGUCCAGGGCUACACACGUGCUACAAUGGCCGGUACAAAGGGCAGCUACCUGGUGACAGGAUGCUAAUCUCAAAAGCCGGUCUCAGUUCGGAUCGGAGUCUGCAACCCGACUCCGUGAAGUUGGAUUCGCUAGUAAUCGCGCAUCAGCCAUGGCGCGGUGAAUACGUUCCCGGGCCUU
RNAcentral lists this ribosomal RNA (453 nucleotides) under uncultured Sphingobacteriales bacterium. Its description in RNAcentral is "bacterial SSU rRNA". It matches the Rfam family "Bacterial small subunit ribosomal RNA", at positions 925 to 1382 of the family's 1533-position model. Lineage: Bacteria; Pseudomonadati; Bacteroidota; Sphingobacteriia; Sphingobacteriales. The record is from RNAcentral.